GACGAACGCUGGCGGCGUGCUUAACACAUGCAAGUCGAACGGAAAGGCCCUGCUUUUGUGGGGUGCUCGAGUGGCGAACGGGUGAGUAACACGUGAGUAACCUGCCCUUGACUUUGGGAUAACUUCAGGAAACUGGGGCUAAUACCGGAUAGGAGCUCCUGCUGCAUGGUGGGGGUUGGAAAGUUUCGGCUGUUGGGGAUGGACUCGCGGCUUAUCAGCUUGUUGGUGGGGUAGUGGCUUACCAAGGCUUUGACGGGUAGCCGGCCUGAGAGGGUGACCGGCCACAUUGGGACUGAGAUACGGCCCAGACUCCUACGGGAGGCAGCAGUGGGGAAUAUUGCACAAUGGGCGGAAGCCUGAUGCAGCAACGCCGCGUGCGGGAUGACGGCCUUCGGGGUGUAAACCGCUUUCGCCUGUGACGAAGCGUGAGUGACGGUAAUGGGUAAAGAAGCACCGGCUAACUACGUG
Molecule: ribosomal RNA, 468 nt
Filed under: uncultured bacterium
Lineage: Bacteria
Description: partial 16S ribosomal RNA
Rfam family: Bacterial small subunit ribosomal RNA
Source: RNAcentral